GCUUACGGCCAUACCACCCUGAGCACGCCCGAUCUCGGAAGCUAAGCAGGGUUGGGCUUGCUUAGUACUCGGAUGGUAGACUGCCUGGGAAUACCAGGUGCUGUAAGCU
Molecule: ribosomal RNA, 109 nt
Filed under: Oreochromis niloticus (Nile tilapia)
Lineage: Eukaryota; Metazoa; Chordata; Actinopteri; Cichliformes; Cichlidae
Source: RNAcentral